Molecule: unclassified non-coding RNA, 304 nt
Filed under: Hevea brasiliensis (rubber tree)
Lineage: Eukaryota; Viridiplantae; Streptophyta; Magnoliopsida; Malpighiales; Euphorbiaceae
Source: RNAcentral
CCAGUACAUUCACCAUCCUCAAAAACCAGUUUUAUUGCCUUCUCUGCAUCUGCAUUGCUGACUCCCUUCCUGAACAAUGCUUGCUUGAUCCGCCUGGGUCCCCAGCUUGAGGAAGACCAUCUAGAUCGAGAAAAUGUUUCUGCGUACAAGCUAUCAUUGAUCAACCCUCUGCUCUGGAAAUCGGUUAUCAAUGCCUCCACAAUAUCAGGAGGAAAUCUCUUCCCAUGUAAUUUCUUCCUCAGCUCUACCGCUGUAUAUGCUCUUGUAGCAAGAAUUUCAAUAGCCAUCUUCUCAGCAUCUAGCA